Molecule: ribosomal RNA, 1305 nt
Filed under: Triticum aestivum (bread wheat)
Lineage: Eukaryota; Viridiplantae; Streptophyta; Magnoliopsida; Poales; Poaceae
Description: partial small subunit ribosomal RNA
Source: RNAcentral
AUGGCUCCCUCCGCGCCCCCGCUCCUCUCCCGCCGGCUCCUGGCCCUGACCCUCGCCCUCGCCGCCCUCGUUUCCCCCGCCUCCGCGGCCAGGAAGAUCCCGGCCUCCGUCACCCCGAUCUCGCGGGACCUCUACCGCCCCAGUGAUACCCUUCUGAGUGAGAUCAAGGCCCUGGUUGCUCGGAAUCCGGAUAGGUUGACUAUGGAUACAUUAAGAGCUGGUAACAAAGGGUAUUCUGCGGAGAUGUUCGUUGUUACUUUUAAUCAUGUGAAGAAAACCGCACAUGAUGGCUCGAAGAUUAAAAUCCUUCUGAGCUUUGGGCAGCAUGGCAGAGAACUUAUCACCUCUGAACUUGCAUUAAGUCUGCUCUACAUUUUGACGGAGAAGCGCAAAAUUGCGGGUGUGGAUCUAUCAUCCUUUGAGAAAAUUCUGGAGCAUCUUGUUAUCAAAGUGGUGCCAAUGGAAAAUUUUAAUGGCCGCAAGCGCGUUGAAGCAGGGGAGAUUUGUGAUAGGAGAAAUGGAAGAGGGGUUGAUCUUAACAGAAAUUGGAGUGUUGAUUGGGGAAAGAAGGAAAAGGAUUAUAACCCAUUUGAGGAGCAUCCCGGUACUGCUCCUUUCAGCGAACCUGAGGCCCAGAUCAUGCAAGAACUAUCCAAGUCAUUUAAACCACAUAUCUGGGUGAAUGUGCAUUCUGGAAUGGAGGCAUUAUUUAUGCCAUAUGACCACAAGAAUACUACACCAGAUGGAGCUCCUUCUCACUUGAUGAGGUCAGUUUUAGAGAAUGUGAACCAUCGCAAUUUCCAAGACAGCUGCCUAGUUGGAUCAGGUGGUGGAGCUGUAGGGUACCUUGCACAUGGGACUACAACUGAUUAUCUGUAUGACAUUGCGAAGGUGCCAAUGCCUUUCACAUUUGAGAUAUAUGGAGAUGAGAAGGCAUCCACCGAGGAUUGCUUCAAAAUGUUCAACCCUGUCGACAAGAUAACAUUUGAUAGAGUCAUUAACAAGUGGUGCAUGGCAUUUCUCAUACUUUUCGAGGAAGGGCUGCGAACCCUACCUGAUGGCCAGGUAGUAUCCCAAGGAGCACUGGAUAACUGGGUCCCUAUGGGAGGAGAGAUUUUGGAGAGAAAUAUGGACCAAAAGAGCGGCGGUGAAAAUGGGAAGCUUGAAGGCCUUGACCUCGGAAUGCAGGAGCUAAAAACCUACUUCAGGUUAUUUAUGCUAUCGACAUUCCUGCUGAUGUUCAUGUUCUGCUCGAGGAUAUCGAAAAACAGGAGCAGAGACUCAGAUGAACAAAGUAUAGCAUGA